Small nuclear RNA from Molossus molossus (Pallas's mastiff bat), 104 nucleotides. The record is from RefSeq and is a predicted model, not a curated record. Lineage: Eukaryota; Metazoa; Chordata; Mammalia; Chiroptera; Molossidae.
GUGUCCUCUUGGGCAAUACAGGUACUAAAGCUGGACCGGUUCAGAGAUGACCAUGGCCCCUGUAUAAGAACGACAUGCACAUUCAUGAAGCAUUCCACCUUUUU